RNAcentral lists this ribosomal RNA (480 nucleotides) under uncultured bacterium. Its description in RNAcentral is "partial 16S ribosomal RNA". It matches the Rfam family "Bacterial small subunit ribosomal RNA", at positions 28 to 507 of the family's 1533-position model. The record is from RNAcentral.
GACGAACGCUGGCGGCGUGCUUAACACAUGCCAGUCGAACGAUGAAGAAAAGACUCGAAGCUUCGGCAGAAAUUCAUUUCGGAUUAGUGGCAGACGGGUGAGUAACGCGUGAGCAACCUACCUCUUACAAAGGGAUAGCCUCGGGAAACCGGGAUUAAUACCAUAUAACAUUGCGACGAAGCAUUUCGAUGCAAUCAAAGCUAUGGCGGUAAGAGAUGGGCUCGCGUCCCAUUAACCGGAUGGUGAGGUAACGGCUCACCAUAGUGACGAUGGGUAACCGGGCUGAGAGGGUGAACGGUCACACUGGAACUGAGACACGGUCCAGACUCCUACGGGAGGCAGCAGUGGGGAAUAUUGCACAAUGGAGGGAACUCUGAUGCAGCGACGCCGCGUGAGUGAUGAAGGAAUUCGUUUCGUAAAACUCUGUUCUAUGGGAAGAAAAGGACUGUACCAUAGGAGAAAGCUCCGGCUAAAUACGUG